RNAcentral lists this long non-coding RNA (910 nucleotides) under Homo sapiens (human). RNAcentral describes it as "HSALNT0146866". Lineage: Eukaryota; Metazoa; Chordata; Mammalia; Primates; Hominidae. The record is from RNAcentral.
GGCCUGGCUAAUGGUAACAGCUCCCCAGGUGAAUCAAAUGUGCAGAGUUGAGAAUCACUGUUUGAGACCCAGCCUGAGCUUUUUGGAGCUUCUCCUGCAGAGGCAAACUUAGGUUUUUGGUUGUGCUGUUCUCCCCCGGAUGGAUCCCAAAUGAUUACUGAAGCUUAAUGGUUAGCUUGAUGGUUUACAGAACAUGGUAACACUUGCUGCACUUUGGAUCACUUCAGCCAAAGGUUUGUUGCUGUAUUAAUUGGCUUCAGAGAAAACAUUGCCUUCACUUAAACGGUUUGAAUACCUCUUGUUGAAUCAUAGGCCUGAGUCAAGUGUUAUUAAUUCAAGAAUCUUUUGUCCAUAUCAGAUAAACGUUGCCAUAGCAAAUGUAGCGUAAACAGAUCUGUUCAAGUCACAACAACCUAUAGAAGCCCACAGACAAAGCAGGACCAGUUUUGUCUUCACAGAAGGCCUAGUGCUGCAUUAAAUGCUAUCCAGUUGGCCUGGUGUAUAGCCACAUGAAUCACGCGCUGAUGAAUGGAACCUGGGAUCCACAGAUCCCAGGCAGAAGCCUUUGUCAUCGGGUUUUAUCAAAUGUGAACAGUCAGUGGAACAUCUGGCUUUAAUACUGAUAGAAACUGUAGGAUUUUGGCUGUUCUCUGGCCUUGCAUAUUUUCCAUCUUCUCUAUCAGCACUUGUCAGUGAUUUGAUGAAGUUAAAUCGACUGCAUCUGAUUCUUCGAGCCCACGAAAAAUUGCAGAAUGCUUGCUCCUAUCUCUCACUCUUACUCACUCAGAGUAAGUUUGCAGUGAGUUGGUUUGGGUCAUGAGCCUGAGAAUUUAAGGAGGAAAGGGGUGAACAGAGAACCUUCCAAAGCCUCGUCUCAGACGAACACUCCUUUUGCUCAACAAUCAAAGAC